AAAGAGAACACGAGUAGAGACGAUAAAAGAACACGAGUAGAGGAUAAAAGAACACGAGUAGAGGAUAAAAGAACACGAGUAGAGGAUAAAAGAACACGAGUAGAGGAUAGAGAAACACGAGUAGAGGAUAAAAGAACACGAGUAGAGGAUAAAAGAACACGAGUAGAGGAUAAAAGAACACGAGUAGACGAUAAAAGAACACGAGUAGAGACGAUAAAAGAACACGAGUAGAGGAUAAAAGAACACGAGUAGAGGAUAAAAGAACACGAGUAGAGGAUAAAAGAACACGAGUAGAGGAUAAAAGAACACGAGUAGAGGAUAAAAGAACACGAGUAGAGGAUAAAAGAACACGAGUAGAGGAUAAAAGAACACGAGUAGAGGAUAAAAA
Molecule: long non-coding RNA, 388 nt
Organism: Ictalurus punctatus (channel catfish)
Lineage: Eukaryota; Metazoa; Chordata; Actinopteri; Siluriformes; Ictaluridae
Source: Ensembl